Molecule: non-coding RNA, 29 nt
Filed under: Rattus norvegicus (Norway rat)
Lineage: Eukaryota; Metazoa; Chordata; Mammalia; Rodentia; Muridae
Source: RNAcentral
UCUCACAUGCUCUGCUAACCUGUCAACCA